UUUUUUUUUUUUUUUUUUUUUUUUUUUUUUUUUUUACACUCUCAAGAUGAUGACUAAAGAGCAUGAAACUGUGAUUCUGAGUUUCUCCCAGGAUUUUCUAUUUAAACUGCAGGAUGAUAUUAGCUGUUUCAAGAAGUAAUUUAUAAACAGGUUGAAAUCAGGUUGAAACAAUUCAACAGCAGGUGGUUGGGCAAAAAGAUUGCUUCAUUCAGAGUCUUCUGUUUGUGUCCAUGGUCCUCCAGGACUUGAGGGGCGGGGUGGGGUGGCAUGGCAUGCUGGGGAAGAAACACCACACAGAGCCCAAAUGCAGAUAGGACUGCUGGAAAAUGCAAACCAAAUUACUUUACUAUUUGCAAGUGAAAGUGCACCUGUAAUGCUGUAGGAAUACACGGAUAAUGUCAGGUGUGGACUUUUAUUCCCUCAACCGAGCUUGCACAGUUCCCAAAUGUUACUGCCUGAAGUGUGAUUUAGAGCUGGUUGUGCCUGGGUGGAGCUCAGACUGCACUCAGAAGCUGGUACCUGAGGUGCGAAAGGAAAGGAACAGAGCUACAAACCAAAAUUAUACUAUGAAGAGACAAAUGUUCACAAGGUGUUUUCCCUUGAGGACAGAAUCCUUUGUUCUGGGAACUCAGUAAAGGUGUUGACAUCUUGCUAACCUCGAGGUACACUUAGUAAGGAGUGGCUCUGGUGGCCAGUGCUGGUUUGAUGCUAGCUAGAAUACAAUGAGCAUGGCUGGAGGCUCAUACCAGAUACCUAUGGAAACCAUUUAGAUGCUAUAUUUCACUUUGAAACCCCUCAGUCUUUUACCCCAGGCGGGUCUGCAGUGUUGAAGGCAUUAGCCUACAGCAGCCUCCUUUGCCUGGCAAAGUAAUAAAACCAUUGGUGCUCUUAUCCCCAAACUCUGUCUUCAAGUUAUAUUUCAGCUCCAGAGCACAGAAGUCGGAUUUUAACAACACCUCCUGCCCAUAAAAGUCUUUCAUUUUGUACAGCCCCUUAGAAGUCCUUUCUAUCUGCUAGAUGUGAUGCUGCCCAAUUCAUGAUUCAUUC
Neofelis nebulosa (Clouded leopard) is the source of this 1047-nucleotide long non-coding RNA. RefSeq lists it as uncharacterized. The record is from RefSeq and is a predicted model, not a curated record. Lineage: Eukaryota; Metazoa; Chordata; Mammalia; Carnivora; Felidae. The transcript is spliced from 3 exons.